GUUAUUUUCUUUUUAAAUCAGAGGGUCAGCUUUCAAUCAACAUUUUUUCUCCUUCUGGUUUCAGGUCUGGGUGGUUUCCAAUCAUGGAGCUACAUCAGUAGGUCUUUGGAAAAACUGUUCCUACAAUAGCUGCAAUGAGACCCUGUCAUAUGCCGGUGAAGAUGCCCUGAAGACAGUGCAGGCCUUCAUGAUUCUCUCUAUCAUCUUCUCUGUCAUCGCCCUCCUGGUCUUCGUGUUCCAGCUCUUCACCAUGGAGAAGGGAAACCGGUUCUUCCUCUCAGGGGCCACCACGCUGGUGUGCUGGCUGUGCAUUCUGGUGGGGGUGUCCAUCUACACUGAUCGUUAUGCGAAGUGCAGUGAAAACUUCCAAGGGUCGGAGUGUCACCAUGGCUAUUCCUACAUCCUGGCCUGGAUCUGCUUCUGCUUCAGCUUCAUCAUCGGCGUUCUCUAUCUGGUCCUGAGAAAGAAAUAAGGCUGGACGAGUUCAUGGGGAUCUGGGGGGUGGGGAGGAGGAAGCCAUUGAAUCUGGGAGGGAAGUGGAGGUUGCUGUACAGGAAAAACCAAGAUAGGGGAGGGGGGAGGGGGAAGGAAAGGGGGGA
This 599-nucleotide small RNA is filed under the name Pongo abelii (Sumatran orangutan). RNAcentral describes it as "retained intron". Lineage: Eukaryota; Metazoa; Chordata; Mammalia; Primates; Hominidae. The record is from RNAcentral.